GACGAACGCUGGCGGCGUGCCUAAUACAUGCAAGUCGAGCGGACCUCUUCGGAGGUCAGCGGCGGACGGGUGAGUAACACGUGGGCAACCUGCCUGUAAGACUGGGAUAACUCCGGGAAACCGGAGCUAAUACCGGAUACUAUGUCAAACCGCAUGGUUUGACAUUCAAAGACGGUUUCGGCUGUCACUUACAGAUGGGCCCGCGGCGCAUUAGCUAGUUGGUGAGGUAACGGCUCACCAAGGCGACGAUGCGUAGCCGACCUGAGAGGGUGAUCGGCCACACUGGGACUGAGACACGGCCCAGACUCCUACGGGAGGCAGCAGUAGGGAAUCUUCCGCAAUGGACGAAAGUCUGACGGAGCAACGCCGCGUGAGUGAUGAAGGUUUUCGGAUCGUAAAACCCUGUUGUCAGGGAAGAACAAGUGCCGGAGUAACUGCCGGCGCCUUGACGGUACCUGACCAGAAAGCCACGGCUAACUACGUGCCAGCCGCCGCCGUAA
This 500-nucleotide ribosomal RNA is filed under the name uncultured bacterium. RNAcentral describes it as "partial 16S ribosomal RNA". It matches the Rfam family "Bacterial small subunit ribosomal RNA", at positions 28 to 523 of the family's 1533-position model. The record is from RNAcentral.